Molecule: ribosomal RNA, 317 nt
Filed under: uncultured bacterium
Lineage: Bacteria
Description: bacterial SSU rRNA
Rfam family: Bacterial small subunit ribosomal RNA
Source: RNAcentral
GAUGAACGCUAGCGGCAGGCUUAACACAUGCAAGUCGAGGGGCAGCAUGGUCUUAGCUUGCUAAGGCUGAUGGCGACCGGCGCACGGGUGAGUAACACGUAUCCAACCUGCCGUCUACUCUUGGUCAGCCUUCUGAAAGGAAGAUUAAUCCAGGAUGGGAUCAUGAGUUCACAUGUCCGCAUGAUUAAAGGUAUUUUCCGGUAGACGAUGGGGAUGCGUUCCAUUAGAUAGUAGGCGGGGUAACGGCCCACCUAGUCAACGAUGGAUAGGGGUUCUGAGAGGAAGGUCCCCCACAUUGGAACUGAGACACGGUCCAA